This 455-nucleotide unclassified non-coding RNA is filed under the name plant metagenome. RNAcentral's name for it is "partial contains 5.8S ribosomal RNA, internal transcribed spacer 2, and large subunit ribosomal RNA". The stretch from base 1 to 104 matches the Rfam family "5.8S ribosomal RNA", at positions 50 to 154 of the family's 154-position model. The record is from RNAcentral.
AAAAUGCGUUACUUUUCAUGACUUGCAAACUUCAUGAAUGAAAAGACUUCGAAUGCAAAUUGCGCCGAUGGUUUUUAACCAUUGGCACAUUUGUUUGAGAAUCAUAUAUAAUAUAUACUGAUUUCUUUUUGGAAUCAGUAAUAUUUGAAAGGUUUUUUAUGCCUUUUGUACAUGGAGGACUUGGAGCUUUGAGAAUUUCCGUUGCUGGAAACUCUGAUAGCCUUGUCCUUUUCAUAUAACCUUAUCUCAAAGGGGGAAUUUGAUCGCGUCUGUACAAGACGGCUUUCUUUUUAUGGUUUUUCUCUUUUAUGAAAAGCUUGAAUCGACAAUUUUAUAUAUUGUUGAGAUAAAAGUUUUUUCAUAUGAGUUGCCAUAAAAUUAAAGCUCUUCUGUGCGUUCAAAUUUCAUCAUUUUUAUGAUCUCAAAUCAAGUGUGACUACCCGCUGAACUUAAGC